RNAcentral lists this long non-coding RNA (351 nucleotides) under Apteryx owenii (little spotted kiwi). RNAcentral's name for it is "lncRNA (ENSAOWG00000012743.1)". The record is from RNAcentral. Lineage: Eukaryota; Metazoa; Chordata; Aves; Apterygiformes; Apterygidae.
GCAUGUCUGCAGCCUUCCCGAGAAAGACCGACAGGGAGUUAUCCACGUGAAACCCACGUCCUUGAGUGACAGCCUCAAAGUCCAAGCCUCUGUCAUCUGUGACGCGUGUCCCUGCGAACAGCAACAAGAGUUUCGCUCACCCAAGUGCAACUUCAAUGGGGACUUUGCUUGUGGCCAGUGCAUCUGCCAUGCAGGCUGGCGAGGGGACACGUGCGACUGCUCCCCAGCCUCGUCCCUCAACAACGAGGCCUGCAUCCGCCCUGGGGAUGUGGAGCCGUGCUCGGGCCGGGGCGAAUGUCUCUGUGGCAAGUGCCAGUGCUACUCUGAAGACCUGAGCCUGCGCUUCGACGG